UUUGGCACUAGCACAUUUUUGCUUUGCUUCUUAUUGUUUGGGCAAUCAUGUGUAGUGCCAUUAU
Molecule: microRNA precursor, 64 nt
Filed under: Monopterus albus (swamp eel)
Lineage: Eukaryota; Metazoa; Chordata; Actinopteri; Synbranchiformes; Synbranchidae
Description: Mal-Mir-96-P1b_pre stem-loop
Source: RNAcentral